UUUGGACGAGGGGCCCCUCUCGGGUUACCGAAUUCAGACAAACUCCGAAUGCCAAUUAAUUUAACUUGGGAGUCAGAACAUGGGUGAUAAGGUCCGUGUCCGAAAGGGAAACAGCCCAGACCACCAGCUAAGGUCCCAAAAUAUAUGUUAAGUGGAAAAGGAUGUGGCGUUGCCCAGACAACUAGGAUGUUGGCUUAGAAGCAGCCAUCAUUUAAAGAGUGCGUAAUAGCUCACUAGUCGAGUGACACUGCGCCGAAAAUGUACCGGGGCUAAACAUAUUACCGAAGCUGUGGAUUGUCCUUUGGACAAUGGUAGGAGAGCGUUCUAAGGGCGUUGAAGCAUGAUCGUAAGGACAUGUGGAGCGCUUAGAAGUGAGAAUGCCGGUGUGAGUAGCGAAAGACGGGUGAGAAUCCCGUCCACCGAUUGACUAAGGUUUCCAGAGGAAGGCUCGUCCGCUCUGGGUUAGUCGGGUCCUAAGCUGAGGCCGACAGGCGUAGGCGAUGGAUAACAGGUUGAUAUUCCUGUACCACCUAUAAUCGUUUUAAUCGAUGGGGGGACGCAGUAGGAUAGGCGAAGCGUGCGAUUGGAUUGCACGUCUAAGCAGUAAGGCUGAGUAUUAGGCAAAUCCGGUACUCGUUAAGGCUGAGCUGUGAUGGGGAGAAGACAUUGAGUCUUCGAGUCGUUGAUUUCACACUGCCGAGAAAAGCCUCUAGAUAGAAAAUAGGUGCCCGUACCGCAAACCGACACAGGUAGUCAAGAUGAGAAUUCUAAGGUGAGCGAGCGAACUCUCGUUAAGGAACUCGGCAAAAUGACCCCGUAACUUCGGGAGAAGGGGUGCUCUUUAGGGUUAACGCCCAGAAGAGCCGCAGUGAAUAGGCCCAAGCGACUGUUUAUCAAAAACACAGGUCUCUGCUAAACCGUAAGGUGAUGUAUAGGGGCUGACGCCUGCCCGGUGCUGGAAGGUUAAGAGGAGUGGUUAGCUUCUGCGAAGCUACGAAUCGAAGCCCCAGUAAACGGCGGCCGUAACUAUAACGGUCCUAAGGUAGCGAAAUUCCUUGUCGGGUAAGUUCCGACCCGCACGAAAGGCGUAACGAUUUGGGCACUGUCUCAACGAGAGACUCGGUGAAAUCAUAGUACCUGUGAAGAUGCAGGUUACCCGCGACAGGACGGAAAGACCCCGUGGAGCUUUACUGUAGCCUGAUAUUGAAAUUCGGCACAGCUUGUACAGGAUAGGUAGGAGCCUUUGAAACGUGAGCGCUAGCUUACGUGGAGGCGCUGGUGGGAUACUACCCUAGCUGUGUUGGCUUUCUAACCCGCACCACUUAUCGUGGUGGGAGACAGUGUCAAGCGGGCAGUUUGACUGGGGCGGUCGCCUCCUAAAAGGUAACGGAGGCGCUCAAAGGUUCCCUCAGAAUGGUUGGAAAUCAUUCAUAGAGUGUAAAGGCAUAAGGGAGCUUGACUGCGAGACCUACAAGUCGAGCAGGGUCGAAAGACGGACUUAGUGAUCCGGUGGUUCCGCAUGGAAGGGCCAUCGCUCAACGGAUAAAAGCUACCCCGGGGAUAACAGGCUUAUCUCCCCCAAGAGUUCACAUCGACGGGGAGGUUUGGCACCUCGAUGUCGGCUCAUCGCAUCCUGGGGCUGUAGUCGGUCCCAAGGGUUGGGCUGUUCGCCCAUUAAAGCGGUACGCGAGCUGGGUUCAGAACGUCGUGAGACAGUUCGGUCCCUAUCCGUCGUGGGCGUAGGAAAUUUGAGAGGAGCUGUCCUUAGUACGAGAGGACCGGGAUGGACAUACCUCUGGUGUACCAGUUGUCGUGCCAACGGCAUAGCUGGGUAGCUAUGUGUGGACGGGAUAAGUGCUGAAAGCAUCUAAGCAUGAAGCCCCCCUCAAGAUGAGAUUUCCCAACUUCGGUUAUAAGAUCCCUCAAAGAUGAUGAGGUUAAUAGGUUCGAGGUGGAAGCAUGGUGACAUGUGGAGCUGACGAAUACUAAUCGAUCGAAGACUUAAUCAA
This 2009-nucleotide ribosomal RNA is filed under the name Staphylococcus aureus M1000. RNAcentral describes it as "bacterial LSU rRNA". It matches the Rfam family "Bacterial large subunit ribosomal RNA", at positions 913 to 2925 of the family's 2925-position model. Lineage: Bacteria; Bacillati; Bacillota; Bacilli; Caryophanales; Staphylococcaceae. The record is from RNAcentral.